This is a long non-coding RNA of Pezoporus flaviventris, 2197 nucleotides long. RefSeq lists it as uncharacterized. The record is from RefSeq and is a predicted model, not a curated record. The transcript has 3 exons. NCBI's taxonomy places the organism in Eukaryota, Metazoa, Chordata, Aves, Psittaciformes, Psittacidae.
AGGUUUUGGGGAUAACUGCAGGGAGAUGCUUGGGGAGGCUGCUAGCUCUGCCCCAGACCACAACAAAUGUGCUUGUGGUCCAGGUCAUACCUUCUGCACAGACAGGUCUCAGCAGCCAAAGCAGAAAAGGAGAGCAAAGGAGAAGAGACAAGGAAACUCACCUUCACAGUGUGCACUGUAGGCAUCCUGCAGACCAGCAUAUGCCACCCAGUACUAAGCUGCCCCCAAUGAAAUAAAUAAUAGGAAAAGCUGUGGAGGAGAAGGCAGUGCAGUGACUUCAGCCUCGUCCCUGAAAUCCAGAAGUAAUUAAAAAGAACCCAAACUAAGAACAGUUCGUUCUUAGUAUGUUUAUUGAGCUGUUAUGUUAAUACUGCAUUGCUGUGAAUGACUGUAUUAAGGAUACCAUAAAUCAUUAGAGAAAAGCAAAGAAGCAGCAUGUACUCCUGUAAACCUGAACUGCAUCUAAAUGUAUAUGGGCUCAUAAAGAUGCAGAGACAAAGAAAUAACAAAAGAUAAUUGCCCUUGACUGGAAACCAGGAAUCAGCAAUAGUUGUAGACUCAAAAUUAAAUGGUAAUUGAGCAGAUUGAUGGAACCUGAUCCCACCCUUUGAAGGGCACCUGCAGCAAUAUCUCUUUCAGCAGUAAUUGCACCUUCCCCUCUCCUGGUGCAGAGGUCUCAUCUGCAUCCCAGGCUCUGGAUGCUUUAGAGUGGACCCAUUUAUGUUUAACUGAAUCCACCCUGAGCUAAGCUGAAUAGUGGUGAAAGGAUGGUUUGAGCAAGAAAUUAUUCACUGUCAGAUAAUUAUGAUCCCAGCAGAAAAGUCUCAGCCCUAAAUCAGGGCCCACUGGAUGGCCUGGGGUGCAACAAAAAGUUGGAAGAAAUUCCUGAAGACUUGAUGAUUACACCAAAUUCCAGAGGCCUUUUGACAGAUAAGGAGGAUCCCUACCGACCUUGCCUUUUGUUUACCCUAAGUGUUUUACUGGCCCUCCUGUACCUGUCAGAUAGGAACUGGCACAGGGAAAGCAGUCCUGGCAGGAUGGAGAACAGAAGAAAAACUGAAUUCACAACUUCACCAAGCGUCAACCAACCCCAGCAAUGUGUCAUUGCUGGAAAAAUAUGGGAUAGCAGUCAUAUUUCUGGCUUGGUUGAGAGGAGGAGAAGGGGUGAUGGUCAGGUUUCUAAGGUACCAAGCACAUCUGCAUCAACCCAUCUGAGCUUCCCAGUCCCUGAGAUGACACGUGUUCCCAGAGAUCAGUGGGACAGUUGGGUGCAUGGGGUGGUGUUGUGCUGGAGGUGCAGGGUGUUGGAGGGUAUGGACAUCCACACCAGGAGGGGUCAAAGGAGAAGGGAUAAGCAGAAAUCUUCAUCUGGAAAUAACUGCUCUCUGAGCAGUCCUUGGGGACUGCUGGCACCAGACUGGUAAUAACUUAAUUGCAACCCAUUUAUCCUUGAAGGGUAUUUUUGGUAAUUGCCUUUAAUGCACCUUUGUUAAAGCAAUGAAGCAGUAUUCACUCCCUUCUGAUUUCAGCAUAAUUUUGGUUUAAAUAUAUUCAGGUGGUAAUUUUUGCCUUGCUCUGAAGCAUUGAUAAACCCUCUGGUGUCUCAGCACAUUUCACAGUGUUUGGGAAUAAAAUUAGUUAUACUGGCUGUCCGCUUUGGUCUCCUGAACGACAGAUCUCAAGAGAUUUCAGCCCUUUUCUGUUCUACCUUAUUAAAAUCAUCAAGAAAUAAUUUUACUUUCAGGUGAUUUUUUUUCCCUUGCUUGUUUUCUCCUUCAUAACACACUGAGAAGCAGAAAGGUAUGGUGAGUGCUUCUGAAAAUAGAGGUGUGCUCUUUCUUCUUUCUUCCCCACCAUUACCUUUCCAAGUGUUCCCCAGAUGUUAGAAUGUUAAUUUUUCAUUGAGCUUGGUCAGAGAUGCCUAUCAAAUGGGUUAAAUAAAACAAGUACAAGAGGUUGUUUAAAAAGCUUGCCCUUUUCGUCCACUUAGUUUAUUCAUCCUCCAUCCCACAGCAAAUUAUUUAGAGGAAAACCAGUCUUGGCAGGACCAUCUCUUUUAUUCUCCAAUUUGUACAAAGGAUAGGAGACAAGGUGGUCUUCACAGGUGCAUCAGGGCACAACUAAUGGCCAUUUUUAUAGCUUUCAUAUCCUCUGAGCCUCAGUGAGGGAGUUUGGGAAAGAAUGGGAGAGAAUGAGC